RNAcentral lists this ribosomal RNA (512 nucleotides) under Nocardioides sp. RNAcentral describes it as "bacterial SSU rRNA". It matches the Rfam family "Bacterial small subunit ribosomal RNA", at positions 380 to 903 of the family's 1533-position model. The record is from RNAcentral. Lineage: Bacteria; Bacillati; Actinomycetota; Actinomycetes; Propionibacteriales; Nocardioidaceae.
AGCCUGAUCCAGCAACGCCGCGUGAGGGAUGACGGCCUUCGGGUUGUAAACCUCUUUCAGUAGGGACGAAGCGCAGUGACGGUACCUACAGAAGAAGCACCGGCCAACUACGUGCCAGCAGCCGCGGUAAUACGUAGGGUGCGAGCGUUGUCCGGAAUUAUUGGGCGUAAAGGGCUCGUAGGCGGUUUGUCGCGUCGGGAGUGAAAACACUGGGCUUAACUCAGUGCUUGCUUCCGAUACGGGCAGACUAGAGGUAUUCAGGGGAGAACGGAAUUCCUGGUGUAGCGGUGAAAUGCGCAGAUAUCAGGAGGAACACCGGUGGCGAAGGCGGUUCUCUGGGAAUUACCUGACGCUGAGGAGCGAAAGUGUGGGGAGCGAACAGGAUUAGAUACCCUGGUAGUCCACACCGUAAACGUUGGGCGCUAGGUGUGGGGUCCAUUCCACGGAUUCCGUGCCGCAGCUAACGCAUUAAGCGCCCCGCCUGGGGAGUACGGCCGCAAGGCUAAAACUCA